This is a long non-coding RNA of Sorex araneus (European shrew), 6614 nucleotides long. RefSeq lists it as uncharacterized. The record is from RefSeq and is a predicted model, not a curated record. The transcript is spliced from 3 exons. NCBI's taxonomy places the organism in Eukaryota, Metazoa, Chordata, Mammalia, Eulipotyphla, Soricidae.
CACAGACUCACUUCCCCAUACGGCAGCACAUACCUGCGUGGCACGCAGCAUCUCCUUGGACCCAUGAGGUUCCCCGGGAGGUGGCAGGGACUCUGAUAUCGUCGUCAGGAUUGCUUUGUCUGGGAGGCACCAUCGACGUCCACCACCGCUGGCUCUGGCACCUGGAUAAAUUCUCUGCCCCUUCCUGAUCCUGCCAACAAACUGGAUUCCACACAGCUCCUGGGUGUGCUGGCUGUUCUCUUUCAAAAAAGCACCUACUAAAAGAACCUGAGCUGAGGCCUUGUGGACACUCUCCUGCCAGGAACUGUGACAGCUGGUGAGUUUGUUUCUCCCCCUUCCACAUAGGUUUUUUUUUUUCUUUUUGGAUCACACCCGGCGAUGCACAGGGUCACUCCUGGCUCUGCACUCAGGAAUCACCCCUGGCGGUGCUCAGGGGACCAUAUGGGAUGCUGGGAUUCCAACCUGGGUCGGCCACGUGCAAGGCAAACGCCCUACCCGCUGUGCUAUCACUCCAGCCCCCCACAUAGGGUUUUAAUGGAACUGCUACUUUGCCCCCAUGGGCCAUGGCAAAGUGGGUUUGUGUGCAGGGGGUCGGGGAGUAACUUUUAUUUGAGGUCACUGGACCACAAGGAGACUUGCCAGAGGGUUCUGCAUCCUUGGGUGCUUUUGCAUUUGGUGCUGGCUUUGCUCACAGGGGAAUAACUGUGAUAACUGUUAUCCUUUGCUCACAGGGGAAUAACUGGGAUGACUGAGCCACUAGAGAGAUCCUGAGUGCCUGAGUUGCCACAUGGAGCAGACUCUGACAUGCACUGGAAUGGAACAAGAGUGGGAAUAAGUCUUUAUUAUGAUAAAUAACCCAAUCAAUGCAUCUUAACCCUGCUGUUAUUUUAGGACCAACUGUUUCAUAAUUGGCUUACCUGGAUCAAGGCAAUAAUCAAAGCUAUCCGUAAUGAAACACACAGGAAAUAUGUUCGCUUUUGCUAGUCUCUCCAAUUUUCUUUGCACCAAGCAAUUCUAGAGGACCACCGUGGCUAAAAGCUUAUGUUUAAACUUGGAUUUUCUUUCAUGCUUCUACUCUUCUCAUCUGAAGUUAUUUAGUCUUUUAAGCACACUGCAACGUGCUUAAACUCAGAUCAACUACUCUCUCUUUUGGGCCUCCCAAGAAGUGUUCAGAAGGGUUGGGCACCACCUGUCCUAAUGAUCUCAGGCCAACAGAUUGGGAGUUCAAUGCAAAGGCCUCAGGAUGUGGUGCUGUUUGGGUCUUGCGAUGUGGGGGACUGCCCCGGACACUCAAAUGGUGCCUGGAGUCAUCCAGGGCCAUACCUGGUAGCAUCUGGAGCCUCCACUCUACCCAGUGAUGCUCAGGGCACUACAUGGGGCUGGAGAUCAAUCUGGAAUUGGCUGUAUACAAGGUAUGUGCUGUAAACCCUGUACCAUCUCUCCAGCUCCCGGAUUUACAGUUACUUGCCUUCUUAGCCUUGAUUUUUGACCUUAUCUGAGCCUCAGUUCUCUCUUCUGGAAGUGGCUACAAUGAUAGCACCCUAUCUUAGGUUGUUGUGAAAACGAAGUGAAUUAGUGUACAGUGAUGGGCAAAGUGUCUGGUACACAACAGGAACCCAAUAAAACGUUUCAUCAUCAUUGUCCUUCGCCUGGCACUGAAGUUGCUUGGUACCACUAAGCUGCUUGGUUCUGAUAACCCUGAAUGAGAAUGAGAGAACUCUUGUGCACAGUCUGUGUUUCUUUGAGAUAGCCGCCGAUUUCAUGACCCUUGCUUUUGUUGAGCAAUUUUGGGAGGAAGAUUUUGCCUCUCCCCAGUCUACUCUAGAAAAUUUGUGUGUUUUUUCUUUUCUUUUUGGGUCACACCCAGUGAUGCUCAGGGGUUACCCCAGGCUCUGCACUCAGGAAUUACUCCUGGUGGUGCAUGGGGGACCAUAUGGGAUCCUGGGGAUUGAACUCGAGUUGGCCACGUGCAAGGCAAACGCCCUAUCUGAUGUACUAUUACUCCACCCCUACUCUAGAAAACUUGGCGUGGUCCUGGGUGCUCAUCCCAGUGUUCUGAGUCAGUAUCAGGGCUUCCGUUAAUGACCUGACUCUGGAAAUGCAUUACUGAUCUGUACCUGUGGCAGCUGCAGUAAGAGGAAUGGAGGAAGGUGAAAUAUAUGUACGGAGAAAGGAACCACUCCCUCCUGAGAACUGCUUCCUCUUUAGCAUAGUGGGAUAAAAAUGAGCCAAUAGGCUUAGAGAGGAUGCUUUGUUGCUUAUUCCUACUCCCCAUCCUUGUUCCCAAAGUACAGUGCUCCAUCUUCUGCUUUCCAACGAAGUGUAGGCAGCGUUUACAAUAUCCAACAUCCUUUCAUCACUCACUCUGAGAACAGAGACUGAGCCUGUCAGGAAUGGCCUCGUCUGGCCUCUGCACCGGGCAGUUACAGUUCUGGCUGACCUGUGUGUCUGGGCUUACCAAUGUGGCUGGCAUGGGCCAACUCACUGCACACACUCCCUAGCGAAGCAAACGAGGCAGGCACACCCACUUUCCUUGGCAUGUUUUUUGGUUGACCCAAACUGCAAACAUCAACAUGUAUAAGACAUAUGCUCUCUUUUUUGUGCAACUCCAGGCACCAAAAUAUGCCUACACACAGGGGUGUGUGCAUUCAGACACAUGCAUAUUCUUUUUGCCUGGUGGAAAUAUGCUUCUGCGAUGUUCCUUCGACACCCACUCAUGCCCCUCCUUGGCUGGCACCUCUCCUAAUGAUUCCCAUCGACUCCCUCCCCAUAGACCUUUUUUCUGUGUACAUUUUGGCACCCCUUCUCUUAUUUCUGCCUGGUUCUUUUCUUUCCCUGCCUCCCUCCCUUCCCCUCCUCUUCAAACCUCUUUAGAAAAUUUGUUAAACUAUACAUUCUUUAUUAGUAAUGUACAUUUAUGAAAAAUUCUUCACAGUUACAAAAUUGCAUGGUUAUAAAAUCAUCUCCAUACAAAGGUUGGCAUCUUCCCUUGCCCCUGCCCUCCCCCGCCCUCCCACUCCCCGACAUCAACAUUCCACGGGACAAUGCUUAGAAAAACGGAGAGCUUCUGUGGACCCGGGACCCCUGACCCAGGGGUAGCAAACACGGUGGUGAUGUACAAGGACCCUGUUGUUUGCCUCCCUUUGUUCCCUUUGCCUCCUUCUGAGGCGUGGAGAGCGGAAAAAUUUCUUUAGCCUCUGGAAGCCAUUCCUCUGAGAAAAGAAGCCUACCUCUUGUUACAGAGCUGGAAAGAAUGUCAUCGUGAUAGCCACAAAGACAUCUACAGGGACAAAGGUGAGGUGGGUAAGACUUCCUGGAUGAUUGAAGAGAAAUUUGUGUACGCUCAAAUUCCAUAAGUCAACUUCCUUGAAAGGAACCAUUGACUCUGGUAAUAUCUUUUGGUCAGGUACACUGCAUCUCUGUAGUGAUGGAGAGAAACAGGUGAAGGCUUCUCUGAGGAUGGGCAGAAGUAACGGUGUUAUAAUACGGAUGGGAGGUUUUGCAUUGAAAAAAAUGUCUUAGUCCAGACAUUGACUGUCAAAGCCUCGUUGAUUAACUCUGCUUUUACAGCCUGACAUGAGUGGGAAAGAAACUUCUGGAAUAAGGGCAACUCUCUGAGAGGCAGGGAAUAAGGGAACCAAUCAAACUGUUCUUAGGCUGCGUAUACUGCUGAGCAGUUUUCCCUACUCCAACCCUCAUAGAAUUCUAUCCUAGAAGACAUAAUAGUAACAGACAGUGGAAGAGAGUGUCAGAGAAUAAAUCCCAAUUCCUCUCCCCAGAGAGAUGGUUCCCAUAUUUGUGGAGUCCCAACAUACACAGAACUUCACAAACACACAAAUGGACUCAGAGAUACCCCGACAUUUACGUAAUAACCACGCUGGAAAAACUUCGUGAAUCCAUGUCGGAACACCACCAUGGGUUCUUGGCUGGCAGAGUUGUGGAAGAAUUCCACUCAGGUCUUCUAGAUGGUCUAGAAACACGACUCUAGAAUCUGACUUCUGACGCCCUGCAUGAGAGAGUAGUGGAGGGGGUAUCGGGGAGAAUCAGGAAGUUCCUUAAAAGUGGGAAAGAUGAAGGCUUUUCUUGUUGAGUUGGUUUCGUCAGCUGGGAAACUGCUAGUAGCUGGAUAAGCAUCAACUCAGGAAAACCCAUGUAUUCUACUUAGAAAAGUUGUUUGUAAAGGAUGGGGAGGCUAGGUAGUCUGGUAAGAAAGGACAUUGGACUUCAAGGAUGUUCAAUUCUUGUUUGGUUCUAGUUCUAGUGAAGAGAAGUACAUAUUUUCAAAUAUAUUACCCUUAUUUCAGCACACGGGAAUCUCUAGGACGUUAUUACAGAUGCCUAAGGUGUCCCUCUAUGGGAGGAUUGAUUAUUUGUAUUAGGACUAUUACGCUAAUGAUUCCUCUCCGAGCGUUUUAAGCUGACAUAGUGAAGAACAGCAAGGCUCUGUUCUAGGCGUCACGGGAGCAGAGCGCUGACCCAGGUGUUGUAUGUGGGACUCAGGGAGCAUAAGGUUCAAGUAUCCCAGGUCUGGUAAAGUUUCUGGACACUCAUUUGGUUAACUAGCUCAGGGAAGCAUGAGUAGGGAAGACUUCUGAAGAUGGUAAAUAAUUCCCCUUCAUUCCUUUAAGCCCUAGGGGGUGGUGCAAGCCUGCUGAUGCGGAGGGGGGAGCAGGGGAGUGCAAGGGAGACAGCCCUAGCUCUAAUUCUCCUCCUGGCCAGGCUCCCCAACCUUGUAAGAUGAAGCCUUGCCAUUUUCCACUUUCCUGCGGAAGUUCUCACCCUACCCCUGCUGUCUCAUACAACAAAGGACCAGUGAAGUGGGAGUGGGAGGAGUUAGCCCAGCUCCCCUUCACCCCGUUUCAUCCAUCUGAUAUAUUUUGCACGACAGCUACUGUGCCCACUAGUUCAAAUGUGUGGUUCGCACAUCACCGGGCAAGUAUUUCCUACUCAGAGGUUUUUGUGACUGCUACAAUGGUUCAGAAAGGCUGAUAUUGUCCCUACCUUGAGCAUCUCUGUGUGCAGCGGCUGAAUUUUACUGCCCUCUCUUGAGCUGAUUUCCUAGCACGCAAUCUCCUGGCUGCUGACUCCCAUCGCCUCCUUGUCCAGCCUCCCCGGGCAUUUCAAGCAUCCGGAAAAGCCCUGGGAAGAGAAUUCAGCUGGUUUUGAGUCCCAGCUUGUCACGUAGGCAAGUCACACCCACUCUUGAGUUUCUGUUUUCCACCUAUGCCAGAAGGGAGUCACAAUGUUUGGUUUGCGUCACACACAGGUUUGGGAAAAGUAAUGGAGAGGGACGCUGCAGCACUGCGGGACCUGUCCAGUGCUGAACAAAUGCGGGGAAGCUACAGCCGUCGCAGAAACUGGAGGGGAAGAUGCAGAUGACGACGACGACGGUGAAACUUGUGCUUUGCCCAUGAAGUUACUUGAUGUUUGAGUGACUGGAUAGACACAGUUUCCCUGAAUGGAGCUGCCUGUCACCUUCCUUCUGGGGUUAAUCUGGAUGGCCUGGGAUGAGUUGCUCAGCUCUGUACAAUGACGUCAUCUGAAAAAAUAGGAACAAUAACUCCCCCCACCCCCAUCGUCCCGGCAGUGUUGCUGUGGAUCUUGAGAUAAAUGAGUCUAUAGAUGUAAAAGUUCUAGAAAGAGGGCCUGGCUCGUGUGUAGAGCUUCCUCAGCAGGGUUGGGGUUUUAAUCGAGAUCGUUGUAGAGAGAACUGACUUCCCCAAGCUCGGAUAAGGGUCGUCGAAAGAGCAGAGACUCAUUUUUCUCAGGAAGUAGCCUUGACUUCUCUGAGCCUUGAUUUCCUCAUCUGUAGAAUGGGAAUGACAAUGUGCACCCUGAUGUCCUACGUUGUGCAGAAAAAGGGAAUCAUCCUAGUGCCUGCCCCUGGCCAGUGCUUGGUAAUCAUGUCCUUCAAAGCUCUAAAAAUCUCCCAUCCUUUUGCUUACAUGGUGAGCUGGUGAAAAGAGCAAGUGUUCUUACAGUCACAACUGAGUCUCUUUUGCCUCCUACAGGCCUGGGAACAGUCAUGUGACAAGGCUGGAGCCCGUGGUGCGCUUUUAUGGUGAGAUCCCCUGAUGGAAGUACCAUACAGGACCAGUCCUGGUGCCACACGACUCUGGCUGCCUCUGCAGCUGAGCUCGCUUCUCUCUGCUGCAGCCAGUGUUUGAGUCAGGCAUCGGUAGGAGAAAGGGAGUUGAAGGUGUCUUUCUUUUGCUUGCUAUCUGGGGCCUCACCAGCAGGCCCCAUGCAGGGUGGAACAUGGGGAGUCCAAGAGGGAACUUCAUCUGGUAGCUGCUGGUAGGAGGAGACCAAGGCGGAUUGGCAUGGAGGUGUUCCCAUCCUCAGGAGGCAGUGGCGGGCAAUGCUGAGGGCUGACUGUUUAGGUAUCAUAGGGCAAAUUUUGGUCCUGGGCCACUUCCCUCUUCACUGUUCUCAACACACCGUGUCUAUUCUGGCAUCUAUCAUUGGCACGCAGGUCUUUUGUCUACUUGACAAGGCAGAAGUGUUUUGAGGACCCAGUUCACAAAUCCCCCCUCGCUCCAAUCCUCUUGAACUUUUCUGUGCAAGGUUGAUGACACCACCUCUGAACACCCCAAACGAAGUGCUCAGGGGGG